Molecule: ribosomal RNA, 303 nt
Filed under: uncultured bacterium
Lineage: Bacteria
Description: partial 16S ribosomal RNA
Rfam family: Bacterial small subunit ribosomal RNA
Source: RNAcentral
AGCAGUCGCCGCGGUAAUACGAAGGGGGCUAGCGUUGCUCGGAAUUACUGGGCGUAAAGGGCGCGUAGGCGGACAGUUAAGUCGGGGGUGAAAGCCCGGGGCUCAACCUCGGAAUUGCCUUCGAUACUGGCUGUCUUGAGUGUGAGAGAGGUGUGUGGAACUCCGAGUGUAGAGGUGAAAUUCGUAGAUAUUCGGAAGAACACCAGUGGCGAAGGCGACACACUGGCUCACUACUGACGCUGAGGCGCGAAAGCGUGGGGAGCAAACAGGAUUAGAUACCCCGGUAGUCCCUGUCUCUUAUAA